This 433-nucleotide ribosomal RNA is filed under the name uncultured bacterium. Its description in RNAcentral is "partial 16S ribosomal RNA". It matches the Rfam family "Bacterial small subunit ribosomal RNA", at positions 29 to 507 of the family's 1533-position model. The record is from RNAcentral.
AACGAACGCUGGCGGCAUGCCUAACACAUGCAAGUCGAACGAGACCUUCGGGUCGAGUGGCGCACGGGUGCGUAACGCGUGGGAACCUGCCCUUAGGUUCGGAAUAACUCCCCGAAAGGGGUGCUAAUACCGGAUAAUGUCUUCGGACCAAAGAUUUAUCGCCUUUGGAUGGGCCCGCGUUGGAUUAGCUAGUUGGUAGGGUAAAAGCCUACCAAGGCGACGAUCCAUAGCUGGUCUGAGAGGAUGAUCAGCCACACUGGGACUGAGACACGGCCCAGACUCCUACGGGAGGCAGCAGUGGGGAAUAUUGGACAAUGGGCGAAAGCCUGAUCCAGCAAUGCCGCGUGAGUGAUGAAGGCCUUAGGGUUGUAAAGCUCUUUUACCCGGGAUGAUAAUGACAGUACCGGGAGAAUAAGCUCCGGCUAACUCCGUG